GACGAACGCUGGCGGCGUGGAUUAGGCAUGCAAGUCGGACGGUAGGGCUUUAUCGUAAGAUAGAGUUUGAGAGUGGCGAACGGGUGAGUAACACGUAGGAAUCUACCCUUAAGACGGGGGACAACCCAGGGAAACUUGGGCUAAUACCGGAUGAGAGUGCGAGAGAUUGCAUUUAAAAGGAUGGCGAAAGUUGUCGCUUAGGGAUGAGCCUGCGGUCUAUUAGUUAGUUGGUGAGGUAAGAGCUCACCAAGGCGAUGAUAGAUAGGCGGCCUUAACGGGUGGUCGCCCACACUGGGAUUGAGAUACGGCCCAGACUCCUACGGGAGGCAGCAGUCGAGAAUAGUCUACAAUGGCCGGAAGGCUGAUAGUGCGACGCCGCGUGAACGAGGGAGCCCUUCGGGUGGUAAAGCUCUGUCCUCGUGGGAAGAAGAAUGUGACGGUACCCACAGAGAAAGCCCCGGCUAACUACGUG
RNAcentral lists this ribosomal RNA (472 nucleotides) under uncultured bacterium. RNAcentral describes it as "bacterial SSU rRNA". It matches the Rfam family "Bacterial small subunit ribosomal RNA", at positions 28 to 507 of the family's 1533-position model. The record is from RNAcentral.